AUGCCGCAGCAGCAGCCGGGGACCGGCGCCCACGUCUUGGACUCCGUACCACUCUUCGUCGUCAUCCUCGGCGCCGCUCACGUCCUAGCCCUCGUGUUCUGGAUCUACAAGCUGGCUUCCCAGAAGCAGCCGACGCGGAGCAAGACGCACUGA
This 153-nucleotide ribosomal RNA is filed under the name Triticum aestivum (bread wheat). RNAcentral's name for it is "partial small subunit ribosomal RNA". Lineage: Eukaryota; Viridiplantae; Streptophyta; Magnoliopsida; Poales; Poaceae. The record is from RNAcentral.